Molecule: ribosomal RNA, 507 nt
Filed under: uncultured bacterium
Lineage: Bacteria
Description: bacterial SSU rRNA
Rfam family: Bacterial small subunit ribosomal RNA
Source: RNAcentral
UACUGAGACAGGUGGUGCAUGGUUGUCGUCAGCUCGUGUCGUGAGAUGUUGGGUUAAGUCCCGUAACGAGCGCAACCCCUGUCCUUAUUUACCAGCACGUAAUGGUGGGCACUCUAAGGAAACUGCCGGUGACAAACCGGAGGAAGGUGGGGAUGACGUCAAGUCAUCAUGGCCCUUACGGCCAGGGCUACACACGUGCUACAAUGGUUGGUACAACGGGCUGCCAAGUCGCGAGACGGAGCUAAUCCCAUAAAACCAAUCGUAGUCCGGAUCGCAGUCUGCAACUCGACUGCGUGAAGUCGGAAUCGCUAGUAAUCGUGGAUCAGAACGCCGCGGUGAAUACGUUCCCGGGCCUUGUACACACCGCCCGUCACACCAUGGGAGUGGGUUGCACCAGAAGUAGCUAGUCUAACCUUCGGGAGGACGGUUACCACGGUGUGAUUCAUGACUGGGGUGAAGUCGUAACAAGGUAGCCGUAGGGGAACCUGCGGCUGGAUCACCUCCUUA